CAGAGUUGCAAAACUCCCUAAACCAUUGUGAAUCUACCCCUAAACAGUUGCUUCGGCGGCGCCCGGACAGGCCCGCCGGAGACCACUAAACUCUUGUUUUUUUAACACUGGCCUCUCUGAGUUUACUGUACUGUAACAAGUCA
RNAcentral lists this unclassified non-coding RNA (143 nucleotides) under soil metagenome. RNAcentral describes it as "partial internal transcribed spacer 1". The record is from RNAcentral.